AAGGCAGGAAACUCUAAGUUGUAUAGUUUCGGCCUAUAAAAAGGCGCAAAGCGCCCCUGUCUUA
Molecule: transfer RNA, 64 nt
Filed under: Neotrigonia margaritacea
Lineage: Eukaryota; Metazoa; Mollusca; Bivalvia; Trigoniida; Trigoniidae
Description: tRNA-Arg
Source: RNAcentral